RNAcentral lists this ribosomal RNA (549 nucleotides) under uncultured bacterium. Its description in RNAcentral is "bacterial SSU rRNA". It matches the Rfam family "Bacterial small subunit ribosomal RNA", at positions 777 to 1327 of the family's 1533-position model. The record is from RNAcentral.
AAUAGAUACCCAGGUAGUCCACCCCGUAAACGUUGGGAACUAGUUGUGGGUCCUUUCCACGGAUUCCGUGACGCAGCUAACGCAUUAAGUUCCCCGCCUGGGGAGUACGGCCGCAAGGCUAAAACUCAAAGGAAUUGACGGGGACCCGCACAAGCGGCGGAGCAUGCGGAUUAAUUCGAUGCAACGCGAAGAACCUUACCAAGGCUUGACAUACACCAGAACACCCUAGAAAUAGGGGACUCUUUGGACACUGGUGAACAGGUGGUGCAUGGUUGUCGUCAGCUCGUGUCGUGAGAUGUUGGGUUAAGUCCCGCAACGAGCGUAACCCUCGUUCUAUGUUGCCAGCACGUAAUGGUGGGAACUCAUGGGAUACUGCCGGGGUCAACUCGGAGGAAGGUGGGGAUGACGUCAAAUCAUCAUGCCCCUUAUGUCUUGGGCUUCACGCAUGCUACAAUGGCCGGUACAAAGGGCUGCAAUACCGUGAGGUGGAGCGAAUCCCAAAAAGCGGUCCAGUUCGGAUUGAGGUCUGCAACUCGACCUCAUGGAACG